This 433-nucleotide ribosomal RNA is filed under the name uncultured bacterium. RNAcentral describes it as "partial 16S ribosomal RNA". It matches the Rfam family "Bacterial small subunit ribosomal RNA", at positions 29 to 507 of the family's 1533-position model. The record is from RNAcentral.
AACGAACGCUGGCGGCAUGCCUAACACAUGCGAGUCGAACGAGACCUUCGGGUCUAGUGGCGCACGGGUGCGUAACGCGUGGGAACCUGCCCUUAGGUUCGGAAUAACUCCCCGAAAGGGGUGCUAAUACCGGAUAAUGUCUUCGGACCAAAGAUUUAUCGCCUUUGGAUGGGCCCGCGUUGGAUUAGCUAGUUGGUAGGGUAAAAGCCUACCAAGGCGACGAUCCAUAGAUGGUCUGAGAGGAUGAUCAGCCACACUGGGACUGAGACACGGCCCAGACUACUACGGGAGGCAGCAGUGGGGAAUAUUGGACAAUGGGCGAAAGCCUGAUCCAGCAAUGCCGCGUGAGUGAUGAAGGCCUUAGGGUUGUAAAGCUCUUUUACCCGGGAUGAUAAUGACAGUACCGGGAGAAUAAGCUCCGGCUAACUCCGUG